GGCCUUUUGUUUAUAUUUAAGGUCUAGCCUGCCCAAUGAAUUAAUUUUUAAAUGGCCGCGGUAUCUUGACCGUGCAAAGGUAGCAUAAUCAUUAGUUUUUUAAUUGAAAGCUAGCAUGAAUGGCUGAAUGAGGAAAAGACUGUCUUCUUAGAAAUUUUAUUAGAAUUUUAUUUUUAAGUUAAAAAGCUUAAAUAAUGUUUAAAGACGAGAAGACCCUUUAGAAUUUUAUAUACGUUUAAAUUUUAAGUUUUAGGGAUUAAUAUUUUAUGUUUUAAAUUUGUAUUUAGUUGGGGUGACUAAAAAAUUUGAUUAACUUUUUUUCUAUUGAACCAUUGAUUUAUGAUUAUUUGAUCCAUUGUUUAUGAUUAAAAGAUUAAAUUACCUAAGGGAUAACAGCGUUAUUUUUUUUGAGAGUUCUUAUCGAAAAAAAAGAUUGCGACCUCGAUGUUGGAUUAAAAUUAAAUUAUGGUGCAGUAGCUUUAACUUUAGGUCUGUUCGACCUUUAAAAUUUUACAUGAUCUGAGUUUAAACCGGUGUGAGCCAGGUUGGUUUCUAUCUUAAAUUAGUUUAAAUGUUUUAGUACGAAAGGACCGGGUAUUUUCUUUAUAAUUUUUUACUAGGCUGCCAUUAGUUAUUUUGGCAGACUAGUGCAAUAGAUUUAGAAUCUUUAUAUGUGGUUCUUUUUACAUUUAACACUUGUUAAUAGUAGAUUUGUUAUUAUUGUUUAUUACAAGGUUAAUUUUGAUUAUUUUUAUUUUAGUCGGUGUUGCUUUUUUAACUUUAUUAGAACGAAAGGUU
This 798-nucleotide ribosomal RNA is filed under the name Epuraea melanocephala. RNAcentral's name for it is "partial 16S ribosomal RNA". The stretch from base 1 to 598 matches the Rfam family "Bacterial large subunit ribosomal RNA", at positions 1829 to 2925 of the family's 2925-position model. The record is from RNAcentral. Lineage: Eukaryota; Metazoa; Arthropoda; Insecta; Coleoptera; Nitidulidae.